CGAACCGAGCUUGCUCGGUAAGUCGCGAACGGCUGAGUAACACGUAAGAACUUACCCCUUGGGUGGUGAAUACCUCAUCGAAAGAUGAGCUAAUACAGCAUAAAACCGCAAGGUAAAAGCCCUUUACUGGGCGCCGAGGGAGAGGCUUGCGGCCUAUCAGUUUGUUGGUGUGGUAACGGCGCACCAAGACUACGACGGGUAGGGGACGUGAGAGCGUGACCCCCCAGAAUGGCACUGAGACACGGGCCAU
This 250-nucleotide ribosomal RNA is filed under the name uncultured bacterium. RNAcentral describes it as "partial 16S ribosomal RNA". It matches the Rfam family "Bacterial small subunit ribosomal RNA", at positions 67 to 334 of the family's 1533-position model. The record is from RNAcentral.